Molecule: small RNA, 475 nt
Filed under: Pan troglodytes (chimpanzee)
Lineage: Eukaryota; Metazoa; Chordata; Mammalia; Primates; Hominidae
Description: processed transcript
Source: RNAcentral
CCACUAUCAACUUCUCCAAACUCACAGAGGGAGACCUCAGGCUGGGUCUAGCAAGAUGUUGUAGUAUCCGGUCUAAAGUGGAGCUGUCAGUCUGGGAUCAGCCUGAGGAUCUUAAUCUCUUCUUUACUGCUACCUGCCAAGAUGGGGUAUCCUAUCCUGGUCAGAGGAAGUGUGAGGGUCUGAAGAUUGGGGACACGGCAUCUUUUGAAGUAUCAGUGGAGGCCCGAAGCUGUCCCAGCAGACACACGGAGCAUGUGUUUGCCCUGCGGCCGGUGGGAUUCCGGGACAGCCUGGAGGUGGGGGUCACCUACAACUGCACGUGCGGCUGCAGCGUGGGGCUAGAACCCAACAGCGCCAGGUGCAGCGGGAGCGGGACCUAUGUCUGCGGCCUGUGUGAGUGCAGCCCCGGCUACCUGGGCACCAGGUGUGAGUGCCAGGAUGGGGAGAACCAGAGCGUGUACCAGAACCUGUGCCG